Molecule: long non-coding RNA, 3514 nt
Organism: Parus major (Great Tit)
Lineage: Eukaryota; Metazoa; Chordata; Aves; Passeriformes; Paridae
Exons: 2
Source: RefSeq, a predicted model, not a curated record
GCACCGCUGAAAAAAAAAAAAAAGUAAAGCAGCUAAAGCAAUUAAAUACUGUAAAUUCAGGAUCUGCAACAGAAAUUAAUUGCCUUCUUCCCUCCUGCAGAAUUUUCCUCAGAUGGUCCUACUUGUCUGUGGAAGGAAGUGAGCAAGGAAGACCUUGCAAAGCUUUGUAUAAUUGUUCUGUGAUCUUCAUCUCCUUUCUUGCACGUUUGAGGAGCAAACAAGUUAACAUUUAAAUAAGCAGCAGCAUGUUGCAGAUGGCUUGAAAUGACAGCUCUGACGCACAGACUGGGGCUCAGUGCUGCACUGGUAACCUUUAGAAAGGGAGAGAAUAAUCUCCAGCUGCUGCAGACGCUGAGAGUGCAACUUCCAGCAUGAAAAGUGGGGCACUGGUGAGCAGCCGCCAUGCCCUGAGGUGAUUCCUGGCACAGCUUUUUGAACUCCCACCGUCCAUCUCAGAAACACCGCGCUAAGCCCAGACAGGGCUUGGGCAAGGCACGGCCUGGCUCUCAUACAUUGUCACAGGAUAUCACACAGAGAGUCAUCAUGUGUGAACUGCACAAAUAAAACACUGCAAAGCUAAAAGGGGCAACUGUGGUAAUGCUUUACAACACAGGAUCACCUUUCAGCUAACAUUCUAGUACACAGGAUUGCUGAGUGACAGUGUAUUUGUAAAACAAACACUGUAAGUGUUCAUCUGUUGAGAUUCCAACUUACUAAUUCAUUAAGUAGGCCAAGCUAGUGUUGCCACACUUAAAUAUAGCUUUGAAUUUAAUUUUCUUCUCCUUUUCUGCUUCUAUUUCUUCAUGUAACUGAUACAAUCUUGGAGUUUCCUUCUAAAAUUUGCUUAUAUUUGUGCUAUUUACAGCAAAGCUGACAUUAAGAAAAUCCACGAGCAACAGGCCCCAUUUCAAGUGGAGACUAAUACAACUCCUGGUAUGUGGCUGCUCCUUUUCUAACGCAGAAUGUCACCACAGCCCUUCCAGUGCUGCACUAACAGCAGCCCACAGGGCAGUGGGGUCCUGCCGCGAAUGCGGUCACUGAGCAGGGAGUGGUUCUGGAUUUUGUCUCAUGCAUUUCUUUCUGGGAGUGCAGGAUGCACCAGCACAGCUGCUCUGCCAGUGAGGGAGCCCGCUGGCUUUUAGUAACAUGGCAGGAACAUUCCCAGUCCCCCUGGGAGAAGGCAGAUGGUGGUUGUGCACAUCUGGUGAAGGGGUGGGGGCACCGGGGUCAAGUGCGUUGGUAACACAGAGCAACCGCAAAGCUGUGCCUAUAAAUACACACCCACUGCUGCAGGAUGGUGGGCUCUGGAGGCAGAGCUGUAUUUAUGUUUGCUGCUACUUCCAACAAACAAGCCUUUGGAGGAACCCUUCGUUCCUGCACGAAGAGUUCACAGAUUUGAAGGCAGCGCUGCUCCCUGGUAGGUGCCUGCUGGCAGCUGGCAGCAGUAGGCAGUGAAUCAGGCAAGGCUUAAGGAAAGCAAAAGUACUGAAGAGUGAUAUUCAGCCCAUGUUUCACACACACAGGCUUCUCCUGGCAUAAGAUGCUAAGAGAGGAGCAGCCAAGAUCCCUGUGUGAUGCUGUAGCUCUGAGAAGCCUCAGAUGAGCCCAUCAAACCUGACAAACCAGAGGAGAUGGUAGGAACAUACAGGGUCACAAUACACUUGGGGCCUGGGAGUAAAGCUGCUGCCACAUCAGCAAGGGCUUGGCCCCUCCUCAAUGACUCGAGCCCAUCUGUGUCAAGAGCAUCGCUGGGAACUUCCAGCAAAGUUCAUUUAUCAGCAAGUGGAAGAAGCUCCUGAGGCCUGUGCUCAGUUCACUGGAGAGACGAGUCUGAGCUUUGGGUUCCAAGAAGCCAAUGACAGCUACGGCAGCCCGGCCCCACGAGCUGUCCUGGGGCUGCUCCCGCUCCUGCCAGCACUUCCCAUCCCCAGAAAUGCCGGUGCUGAUCCGCCAGCCUCACUGCCAGAGCACCAGGAGGAGCUGGCUGUCCCCACAUACAGUCCCUCUUAAUGGAGUUUGACAGGAGAGACUGAAGCGUGCAGCUCUGCAACCAAAGAACCUGAGGCAGCUUCACUUCUGAGCUCAGGAUGGGAAUGAAAUGGCACAGCACGAGCUUCACCUGCAGGACAAGCGAGGAGCAGGAGACAGCUGUGGUUAUUCCAGCCUGCACAAUGAGGAGCUCAGAGGUGUGCUGGCAGAGACACCUGGCUGCCAGCCAGGGUUGAUGGAUGCUGGAGUGCUGCAGCCUCCUCUCCCGGCCGCGCUCUUUCCCUGCGGCAGAGGCAGCGCUGACGGAACCCAGCACACAGAUGGGGCUUUCACAGCGCUCCCCAAACUGCCAUUUGUCCCUGCCCCGGGCAGGUGAGUGGUCAGAGCAACUCCCCAGCUCAGAACUGCAGCUUGUUAUGGAAAUAAACCCUUCACUGGGCCUGGCUUUCAACUCUGCUUCAGCAAGGGGGAGCUUGAAUAAGGGGAGUUAACACACACUUUAAUGGUAAAGGUAAGAAUUUGGCCCUUGAAUGGGUGAACUGUCCUUCAGACUGGCUCAAAUCCUGUCAUGUCUAAUAGGGUUUCUUUUAUGGAAGAAAAUUUGAGGUUUCAAGCUUAAUUUUAAGAAAAAAAUGCCCAUGACACUUAAAGAAGUGUUCCUUUCAACCCAAUCCCUGCUCAGGGAGGACACCUGCAGCAGGGUCAUCUCAUACAACUUUAAAUGUCUGCAGGGCAGCUGGCUGCCUGAGAGAGCUCCUGUGUCCCAGCCCACACUGCACUCACUGAACAGAGAAAAUGGCAGCUUUCAGGACACAGUGCAACUGACCUAUUUUAGGUACCUGCUUCAGGAUGAGAUGAAUCAGCCCCAGCAGCACCUGUUUCUCUCUGUUGACUAUAAAGGGAGUCCGGAAAAUAUACCUCUGGCCAGGUAAAUACCACCCCUCGUGCUGAAUAGAAGCAGAAGGAAAUGCACAAAAAUGCUCAGAACAGGACUAAUUCAUGCCAUUCACACCACAUUGCAAGCGAAGCAUUUAAGACCUACAGAGCGGAAGAAGCACUCCAAUUAGCUUUAAUAUGAAGCUAGAAGGAUCCUGGUAACACGAGGAAAUUAAUAUCUAGGCAGCAGGCCCCUAGAGUAAUUGCACAGUUGUUACAACGGGAAGUUGCAGAAAAUUACCAUUUGCAAGGUUGCAGCAAACAAAAAGAUAAUAUCUUGAUGUAGGCCAGUGCAGGGAUCUGAAGGUUCCAAACAUCCAAAGUUCAACUCACACAGCUGAAAUGACUACGGGUGGAAAAAGCCUGAAGAGGAUGACUGAUAGAAGAGCAAGAUGCCUGCAGUUCAGCUAAGGUUCAUAUGAGACACAAAAAGAGCAGGCUCAGAAACCUUCCAGUAGAGUAUUAAAGAAAAUAUGAGUGAUUCAUGGUCAUACUAGUGACUGAUGUCUGCUUGCCUGCCUUACAUAUGGAUAAACAGCCAUGCAAAAUGAAUAAAGGAUUCAAUUAAAGGAUUGAAAGGAAAACUUAA